UACGUAGGUGGCAAGCGUUAUCCGGAAUUAUUGGGCGUAAAGCGCGUGUAGGCGGCCCGGUAAGUCCGCUGUGAAAGUCGGGGGCUCAACCCUCGAAUGCCGGUGGAUACUGUCGGGCUAGAGUGCGGGAGAGGCGAGUGGAAUUCCUGGUGUAGCGGUGAAAUGCGCAGAUAUCAGGAGGAACACCAAUUGCGAAGGCAGCUCGCUGGAACGUAACUGACGCUGAGACGCGAAAGCGUGGGGAGCAAACAGG
RNAcentral lists this ribosomal RNA (253 nucleotides) under uncultured bacterium. RNAcentral's name for it is "partial 16S ribosomal RNA". It matches the Rfam family "Bacterial small subunit ribosomal RNA", at positions 524 to 776 of the family's 1533-position model. The record is from RNAcentral.